RNAcentral lists this ribosomal RNA (253 nucleotides) under uncultured bacterium. Its description in RNAcentral is "partial 16S ribosomal RNA". It matches the Rfam family "Bacterial small subunit ribosomal RNA", at positions 524 to 776 of the family's 1533-position model. The record is from RNAcentral.
UACGGAGGGUGCAAGCGUUAUCCGGAUUCACUGGGUUUAAAGGGUGCGUAGGUGGGUUGGUAAGUCAGUGGUGAAAUCUCCGAGCUUAACUUGGAAACUGCCAUUGAUACUAUCAGUCUUGAAUACCGUGGAGGUCAGCGGAAUAUGUCGUGUAGCGGUGAAAUGCUUAGAUAUGACAUAGAACACCAAUUGCGAAGGCAGCUGACUACGCGAAUAUUGACACUGAUGCACGAAAGCGUGGGGAUCAGACAGG